Pongo pygmaeus (Bornean orangutan) is the source of this 976-nucleotide long non-coding RNA. RefSeq lists it as uncharacterized. NCBI's taxonomy places the organism in Eukaryota, Metazoa, Chordata, Mammalia, Primates, Hominidae. The record is from RefSeq and is a predicted model, not a curated record. The transcript is spliced from 4 exons.
GAGAAUGUGACAUCUGCAAGCCAAGGAGAGAGGCUUCAGGAGAAACCAGCUCUGCUGACACUUUGAUCUCAAGCUCUGGCCACCAGAACUGUGAGCAAAUAAGUAUCUGUUGUUUAGGGCACCCUGUCCAUGGCACCUUGCUCCGAUAGCCCCAGGAAACGAAUCUGCAGCACAGGUUUGUGCUCAGAAGCCCCUACACCAGCUGCUGCGUGAUGGAGAAUAGGAGUCAAAGCACGGAGGCCGGCAGAAAAUCAAGAGGCUGGUCCCACGCACGGGCAAGAGGCCUCGGGGACAUAUUAGCUGAGGAGGAAGCUGAGGUUGGGAGAGGUGGAGGGACUUGCCCAAGUCACACAAAGGACAACUCAGCAGAACUGAGAAUUGGCACCCAGGACAACUGGAGUCCAUCCUGAGCUUGUCACCGCUGGGCUCUGAGACCUCCUGGUGAAGAGGGACAGUGGCAGAGACAGCCUGACCCAGAGAAACCCAGCAACGCUACUUUCUAAGGACAUUUUUCCCUUUCAUUUGGAACCCUGAGCCUCCUGCUUGCCCUGUAGGCCACACCCAGCAAACAGGCGGGUUUCAUUUCCUGGAGAAACCACAGAUGGAAAGUCCCAGCCAUGGGCUCCAUGUGACCUGGUGGCCUUAAGAAGCUCCCCCCACCGCCCCUCAGCCCUUUAAUCAUUUACAAAGCAGGGCCACACAGAGCAUCUAUUUUCUUUCUGGAACAUCAGAGCUGGCUGGGAACUGGGAGAAGAGCUGGAGCAACACCCUGCAUCCAUUUCCUCUUGCUGUAAUAACAACUGAUCACAAGAAUGUGAGCAUGGAGUCUGGAGCAGGAGCAGCUGUUGUGCACUGUGAGGUCGAAGCCGUGUGUUGAGAAUAGCAGAGCAACAAAGCAAUAGGAGCUGGAGCCCCCAGGGGCCAUGAAGCCCCUACCAGCCCUGGACUGCUUAGAUUUACUUGAGCAAGAAAUAAA